CCAGGGACCUCCCAAGCCACCUCCGGAGGCAGACAGCAGCUCAAUCCCACUUACCACGACCAUCCUUGCUAACCUUUUGGCUGACCUCCGACAAAGUCUCUCUGCAGAUAUAUCCCAAGUACGGGAGGAUGUCAGGGGAUUCACAGCCCGUUUAACCAAGGUGGAACAAGCAGUGGAGGAUCACACUCCCCAAAUCGCAGACCUGCAGAAGCAGGUGAGGGACCUCACCACGGCUCAGGCUAACUUUGAC
Molecule: non-coding RNA, 250 nt
Organism: Pelobates cultripes (western spadefoot toad)
Lineage: Eukaryota; Metazoa; Chordata; Amphibia; Anura; Pelobatidae
Source: the annotation of a GenBank genome assembly